UAUAACCGGCGAUUUCCGAAUGGGGAAACCCAGUGUGUUUCGACACACUAUCAUUAACUGAAUCCAUAGGUUAAUGAGGCGAACCGGGGGAACUGAAACAUCUAAGUACCCCGAGGAAAAGAAAUCAACCGAGAUUCCCCCAGUAGCGGCGAGCGAACGGGGAGGAGCCCAGAGCCUGAAUCAGUGUGUGUGUUAGUGGAAGCGUCUGGAAAGGCGCGCGAUACAGGGUGACAGCCCCGUACACAAAAAUGCACAUGCUGUGAGCUCGAUGAGUAGGGCGGGACACGUGGUAUCCUGUCUGAAUAUGGGGGGACCAUCCUCCAAGGCUAAAUACUCCUGACUGACCGAUAGUGAACCAGUACCGUGAGGGAAAGGCGAAAAGAACCCCGGCGAGGGGAGUGAAAAAGAACCUGAAACCGUGUACGUACAAGCAGUGGGAGCCUCUUUUAUGGGGUGACUGCGUACCUUUUGUAUAAUGGGUCAGCGACUUAUAUUCUGUAGCAAGGUUAACCGAAUAGGGGAGCCGAAGGGAAACCGAGUCUUAACUGGGCGUUAAGUUGCAGGGUAUAGACCCGAAACCCGGUGAUCUAGCCAUGGGCAGGUUGAAGGUUGGGUAACACUAACUGGAGGACCGAACCGACUAAUGUUGAAAAAUUAGCGGAUGACUUGUGGCUGGGGGUGAAAGGCCAAUCAAACCGGGAGAUAGCUGGUUCUCCCCGAAAGCUAUUUAGGUAGCGCCUCGUGAAUUCAUCUCCGGGGGUAGAGCACUGUUUCGGCAAGGGGGUCAUCCCGACUUACCAACCCGAUGCAAACUGCGAAUACCGGAGAAUGUUAUCACGGGAGACACACGGCGGGUGCUAACGUCCGUCGUGAAGAGGGAAACAACCCAGACCGCCAGCUAAGGUCCCAAAGUCAUGGUUAAGUGGGAAACGAUGUGGGAAGGCCCAGACAGCCAGGAUGUUGGCUUAGAAGCAGCCAUCAUUUAAAGAAAGCGUAAUAGCUCACUGGUCGAGUCGGCCUGCGCGGAAGAUGUAACGGGGCUAAACCAUGCACCGAAGCUGCGGCAGCGACACUAUGUGUUGUUGGGUAGGGGAGCGUUCUGUAAGCCUGCGAAGGUGUGCUGUGAGGCAUGCUGGAGGUAUCAGAAGUGCGAAUGCUGACAUAAGUAACGAUAAAGCGGGUGAAAAGCCCGCUCGCCGGAAGACCAAGGGUUCCUGUCCAACGUUAAUCGGGGCAGGGUGAGUCGACCCCUAAGGCGAGGCCGAAAGGCGUAGUCGAUGGGAAACAGGUUAAUAUUCCUGUACUUGGUGUUACUGCGAAGGGGGGACGGAGAAGGCUAUGUUGGCCGGGCGACGGUUGUCCCGGUUUAAGCGUGUAGGCUGGUUUUCCAGGCAAAUCCGGAAAAUCAAGGCUGAGGCGUGAUGACGAGGCACUACGGUGCUGAAGCAACAAAUGCCCUGCUUCCAGGAAAAGCCUCUAAGCAUCAGGUAACAUCAAAUCGUACCCCAAACCGACACAGGUGGUCAGGUAGAGAAUACCAAGGCGCUUGAGAGAACUCGGGUGAAGGAACUAGGCAAAAUGGUGCCGUAACUUCGGGAGAAGGCACGCUGAUAUGUAGGUGAAGUCCCUCGCGGAUGGAGCUGAAAUCAGUCGAAGAUACCAGCUGGCUGCAACUGUUUAUUAAAAACACAGCACUGUGCAAACACGAAAGUGGACGUAUACGGUGUGACGCCUGCCCGGUGCCGGAAGGUUAAUUGAUGGGGUCAGCGCAAGCGAAGCUCUUGAUCGAAGCCCCGGUAAACGGCGGCCGUAACUAUAACGGUCCUAAGGUAGCGAAAUUCCUUGUCGGGUAAGUUCCGACCUGCACGAAUGGCGUAAUGAUGGCCAGGCUGUCUCCACCCGAGACUCAGUGAAAUUGAACUCGCUGUGAAGAUGCAGUGUACCCGCGGCAAGACGGAAAGACCCCGUGAACCUUUACUAUAGCUUGACACUGAACAUUGAGCCUUGAUGUGUAGGAUAGGUGGGAGGCUUAGAAGUGUGGACGCCAGUCUGCAUGGAGCCGACCUUGAAAUACCACCCUUUAAUGUUUGAUGUUCUAACGUGGACCCGUGAUCCGGGUUGCGGACAGUGUCUGGUGGGUAGUUUGACUGGGGCGGUCUCCUCCUAAAGAGUAACGGAGGAGCACGAAGGUUGGCUAAUCCUGGUCGGACAUCAGGAGGUUAGUGCAAUGGCAUAAGCCAGCUUGACUGCGAGCGUGACGGCGCGAGCAGGUGCGAAAGCAGGUCAUAGUGAUCCGGUGGUUCUGAAUGGAAGGGCCAUCGCUCAACGGAUAAAAGGUACUCCGGGGAUAACAGGCUGAUACCGCCCAAGAGUUCAUAUCGACGGCGGUGUUUGGCACCUCGAUGUCGGCUCAUCACAUCCUGGGGCUGAAGUAGGUCCCAAGGGUAUGGCUGUUCGCCAUUUAAAGUGGUACGCGAGCUGGGUUUAGAACGUCGUGAGACAGUUCGGUCCCUAUCUGCCGUGGGCGCUGGAGAACUGAGGGGGGCUGCUCCUAGUACGAGAGGACCGGAGUGGACGCAUCACUGGUGUUCGGGUUGUCAUGCCAAUGGCACUGCCCGGUAGCUAAAUGCGGAAGAGAUAAGUGCUGAAAGCAUCUAAGCACGAAACUUGCCCCGAGAUGAGUUCUCCCUGACCCUUUAAGGGUCCUGAAGGAACGUUGAAGACGACGACGUUGAUAGGCCGGGUGUGUAAGCGCAGCGAUGCGUUGAGCUAACCGGUACUAAUGAACCGUGAGGCUUAACCUUACAACGCCGAAGCUGUU
This 2821-nucleotide ribosomal RNA is filed under the name Escherichia coli. RNAcentral's name for it is "partial 23S ribosomal RNA". It matches the Rfam family "Bacterial large subunit ribosomal RNA". Lineage: Bacteria; Pseudomonadati; Pseudomonadota; Gammaproteobacteria; Enterobacterales; Enterobacteriaceae. The record is from RNAcentral.